CAUGCCGCGCCGCCAGCGCCAGUGCUCUGGACCACUCCUGGGCAGCUCUGCAGCACCUGCAGCUUUGAGCAGCAUGGUAAGGGGGUGGGGCUGCGAGCUCCAGCGGGCCACCCAGCAUCCAUACACGCUGCCCUGAGCAGCAUGAGAGAAGUUGGGAGUUACAUAGGGAGAGACUUAGCAGGAAAUAAGGAGGUCUGGAGAAUUUUAGAAAAUAUCAUGCUCCCUGGCAUCAAAAUUAACCUCCUCCCUUUCCACCACAACACCUGCUGCAGCUUAUUGCAAGCUGACCACGGAAGAACUUCAUAAAAGUAAAGGAUAUGCAUGAUAUGACCUUACAAACAAUAUUUCACUUGUAUGAAUGGUUGUGAGAUGUGAAUAAAAGAAACUGAGAAUACUA
Molecule: long non-coding RNA, 397 nt
Organism: Chelonia mydas (Green sea turtle)
Lineage: Eukaryota; Metazoa; Chordata; Testudines; Cheloniidae
Exons: 4
Source: RefSeq, a predicted model, not a curated record